This 253-nucleotide ribosomal RNA is filed under the name uncultured bacterium. Its description in RNAcentral is "partial 16S ribosomal RNA". It matches the Rfam family "Bacterial small subunit ribosomal RNA", at positions 524 to 776 of the family's 1533-position model. The record is from RNAcentral.
UACAGAGGUCCCAAGCGUUGUUCGGAUUCACUGGGCGUAAAGGGUGCGUAGGUGGCCAGGUAAGUUCGGUGUGAAAGCUCGGAGCUUAACUUCGAAACGUCAUUGAAUACUAUCUGGCUGGAGGGUCGGAGGGGAGACUGGAAUUCUCGGUGUAGCAGUGAAAUGCGUAGAUAUCGAGAGGAACACCAGUGGCGAAGGCGAGUCUCUGGACGACUCCCGACACUGAGGCACGAAAGCUAGGGGAGCAAACAGG